Non-coding RNA from Zonotrichia albicollis (white-throated sparrow), 6668 nucleotides. The record is from RefSeq and is a predicted model, not a curated record. NCBI's taxonomy places the organism in Eukaryota, Metazoa, Chordata, Aves, Passeriformes, Passerellidae.
AAAGAAACAAAGGACAGCAUUUAUGCUCUGUGCAAAGUCUUCAGGGGAUGUUUUGUUUGUUCACAGAUAUUACCAAAGUGACACUUAGACUUUCACAGACAACAAACAGAAAGCCAUGCCAUCCUUAUUCUGCACCUGGCACUGGAUUUCAGCAAUUAACCUGAGGAUCUAGAGAGAGUUUGAACACAUAAUUGCUAAGAACUCACUCACUGGUCAUUUUCUUUGAGUUAUGGAUUGCUACUAGUCAUAGUACUGGGCAAAUAUGCCCACAAAAACUGGAAUCCUACAGGAAAUAAGACAUCAAUGCCAAUGUGUAACCAUAUCUACAACAGCUGGGUUUGGAGUUUUUUGCUGCUGUUGUUGAUUGAGGUUUGGGGGAUUUUUUUUUUAAUUUUUUUAAGUCUGUGAGGCCUGAUCCACUUGGGAAUGCCAAGAGUUGUAGAUCAGUGAACUGUCUAGUUAUGAACAGUAAUGUAUAGAACCAGACUGCUAAACUAAAAUGGAAGUGAAGAUCAAACAGGCAGAUUUUAAGCAAAGAAAAAGCUCAUCACUGAUGCCUGCUGUUAUCAACAGCUCUGAAACCAAACUGGUGUGAGAUCAGAGACUCAAAAAUACUGCCAGGAAAUACAACCAGAGUUUUUCGCUACUGCAAGGACUCUAACAAGGUAGUGUCUGUUGAAACAUUUUGAUUUGCAAGUGAAAAUCCAACUGUCAUUUCAAAUCUAAAAUUUUUCUUCUCUAACACAUCUGCAUAAUUUCUUACCAGUUCUGAAAUCUGUUGUUAAUAAUAAGAUAGUGGCCUGUUAAGAUAAGAAAGACAGUAUUCUCUAACUGAUGUAAUUAUAGACUCUUUAAACUAACUUUUUAAUAGACAUCUUACACACUAAAAUUUUGUUUAUUUUUUUCAUUAAUUUUAAAAAUUAAUUCUCUUUAAUUUUUAGCUAAAAUUGGAAGAAACAGUAACAGUCACUUGGUGUAAAGUCAUAAGGUACACUGUUAUUUUAGCCACAGUAAAUUUAAGUGAACAUAAAUUAAUUACUUAAAUAUUUAGUCAGAUAAAAUUGGACCAUAUUUUUCUUUUUUUUUACAAAUAACAAUAGAAGUUCUGAAAGCAAGUGGUCUUUCUUCAUAAAGGGCUUUGACAACACUAGUUCAUGUUAGCACCUUUUGAUGGAAAGAUUUUUGAAAUUCAAAACCAGUUUGCUCUUAAGAAUUAGGUGUUCUCUUAAAAAUUAGGCUUUUUGAAAGUUCCUUUAUGUUGGGGAAAAAAACCAAGGAAAAAGGCUAAAUGGGUAAGUUUUCUUAAAUCCUUUUGUAAAUCCUUUUUUAAUUCCUAAGUUUUCCCCAGUAUAAUCAAACAGCAAAAUCAUGGUAAUGGACAAACUGAUGAUGUCCAAAUGUAAUUAUAUGUUGUCUAGUUGAGAUCUCAUGUAAAAGAGAAUAGAAAGUUGCAGUCAGGAAUGUUCAACAAUUCCAACAGACUAUUUCUUUGCAUUUUAUGAGAUUUCUCUGGUAGUGUUGUCUGUCUCCUAUGACACGAAGCAUUUAAAUGAAAAAGAAAUUUGUUAUUAUACAAUUUAAAGCUUUUUCACUUGCUAUUUCCUCCUGAUGCCCUGAUAAUGUCAGAAACAUGACUCUUCCAUUUUGCCACCCCUUAGACAGGUUAUCUCUGGGUUGAGAUUUAAGGAAGUUAGGUCCUGAUUGUUGUGAUACAGUAGAAAUUUUCUUCAUGAAUCAAUAUCGAUUCAGUGGUCAUGUAACUUUGGGGAAUAGUUGUACAAGUAAAAGUGCAUGAAAUAUCAUCAAUCCAUUGCUUUACUCUGGCAGUUCCUGGGACAAGAAAUACUGUAAAUCAGAUAUACUUCAGUAGGAAGGACUGAAGAAGUAUUUUCUUGUAGAACAGAUUUGAGGUGAGCUAAGGAACAUCAUUGGUGCAAAAAUGACAAAGUGAGAUCAAGGCAGUGGGGGAUACAUUAAUGCCAUUCCAUUUUAGCUUGCACUUCCACUUCUCCAUUUUGCAUCCAUCCUUCUUUCCCCUGGCUGGGAAGAAGAUAAUGAAGGGUGUCCCUUAUUUUUUUCUUUCUUCUACUUACUUUUCAGCCAUAAGUGAAACAUUUUUCAUUUUUCCUCUCUUGUCACUCCUUUUUUGCCUGUGUAGAUGGAUUUUGGCAGUACUGGUGAAUCAUACAAAAAUGAGUGCUUUGGUGAGAAAAACUAGAAACCUCUGGCAUGUUGGGAAAUCUGGAGUGCUACAUUCUACAUUUCCACUUUCAGAUCAAGUUUCCCUCUCUUUGCAGUGACUUAUCUCUAUAGUUAACCUUAUCAGUGGAUAAAUAACAUCUAAUAAGGAAAGCAAUUUUAACAGUUCGUCCUUAAGAGAACUUAACAGAGAAUGAAGUUAAAGCCACAUAAAAGGCAUAUACUCAGAAGACCAAAGUACCUGUAUUUUUCAUAAUCAGUUCUUAAAAUAUUUUCUGCAUAUUCACAGGACAGACUGCUUUUAUUGCCUAUGUCUGGAAUAAUGCUGUAUUAAAAUCUAUAACUAUAUAAUUAAAUAGUGCCCUAACUAUAUAAUGAAAUAGUACCUUUAUUUGGUAAAAAUGUAAUACCUACUUUAUAAACUUCCAUCUGGGUUUUUUGUUGGUUGGGUUUUUUCAGUUUUAAAAUAGCUGGUAUCCAAAAAGGAGAGGGGGAAUCAAAAACAAAGCCAUGAAGUAUUUUCUUGAAGAUUCCUCACAAAUUUUAUGAAUAAUCACAGAAAAUACUAAUUUUUAUUCAGUUACAGGCUAUUCCUGCUCCAAAUUAAUGUUCAUUGUCCCAGACCAAAGCACAUGAAAGAGUUUUUCCUCACAAAAUUUUAAGCUGCUUGGUGCUUAGCAGUCUUUCAAGAUUGCUCUAAUGAAUCUUUUGUCCAUAAACAGAAAAUCAAGCCUUUGUUAGCCUCAUUCCUACUGUAAUCCCACCACUGUUCGGUUUUCUGUUCCAUAUGAUAACUUUCACUCAGAAUAAGCUACUUUAUGUACAAUAAGUUAAACCAUUUCAGAAAUCAUCUUUUUCAAUCACUAACAAGUUUAGUUUGUUAUUACUAAAAAAGAAAACUAUGUGGUAACUGUCUUAGAAUUUCAACUUAGCAAUAUUCUUUGCCUCAGCUUGCCAAUUCAUAUAUUUUCAAUAUCCCCUGGUGAGUUAGCUGAAAUCGAGCCAAAAUAUUCCUUAGUGGCAUUAUUAUCUAUUAAGCUUGUAAAUAAAACAUACACAGCAACAGGACACACGAGGAAAACAGAUGAUAUGAUUAAAGACAGUAUAUGACAGGAUUAAAGACUGUCAGCACUGAUUUGUUGAAUUGUUGCUAAAGCCUAUUUCCAUGUAAAGCACAUUAAACCGGAAAAAUGCCCAAGCAGUAGCUAGAAUGAUCAAAUUCCUGCUCAGGAAGACUCCUAAGUGAUUACAGCAAAUGUUCGGAGUUUUUUAAUCCAUUUGAAAUCAAGGGCUUCCUUCUCACUACAAACUGUGGAGUAAAGGCUACAGAACAGCCGGUUUCCCUGAAUUAAAAACCCUGCGGGCUUUUUUGUCCCCAUUCUGCCCCUGCUUUGGCAGAAAUUAUAUGUUGUCAUGCAUUAAACUCUUUGUGUGGGAGGCUGUAAUGACCCAUACUCCCCAGGGAAGGGGCAAAUCCCUUUCACAGCUCGAAGAGGAGACCUGGAUACAAACAUCUUGAGCCCUGAGAUCCUCAGCAUCUUUACCCUCUAUGCUGAACAUGACUGGCACCUGGCCCUGGUGAGUUUAAGGCUUGGCUGUGCCCAGGCAGUGAUGUACAUCUGUUCUUUGUUUCACCUCUAUUUUUCAAAGAACUGGUAAAUUCAAUAGAAGAAUCCAUGCCUGUGUUUUUAACCUAUGUCUUUGGUUCCAUUCUUUACCCUCAGCCCACUGUUUUAACAUAAAAUCUGCAAAAAUGUGAUAUUCAAGUUAGAUCUUGUCCAGGAAAGGAGUUCUUACUGUUUUUUGAAGAGGUGUUAAGCAUGAACAUUCAGGUGUUCUGACAUUCCACUACUAUAAAGAAAUACUAUUUUUUGUAUGUCUAAAAUUCACAUGCAGUUUUUUAGGCUGAUAUUUUGCAAAGAUUAAAAAAAGUCCACAUGCUCUUGAUGAGAGAUGCUGUUUGGAGAAACUACUGUGAUUAUUUGCUUUUGUUUAAGAACACAUAAAUCAUGUGGGCUUGAUAAGUCAGUGAUUAUUUCAGUACAAACCUAAUCAUGAUUAUCAAGUGGAAAGGGGACAACCAUCUCUUCUUAGUGCUAACAAGCUGCUUGUAUUCAGCAUUAGAAAAAUAGUUUUAAGGCAGGUAGCUAGAACUGUGCUGCCAGUAAGUCAAGCAGCUUCAAAUGAUUUCCUAUUACAGCUUGAGAAGCUCUCCCUAGAAGAUGACGCUCCCAAUCAGUGCAUGGACAGGUCCCUGAGCAGAGACUCACAGUAUGCAUCUGUUGGCACAGUUCAGAGGACAGCAAAGAUGACUUAAAAUUGCCAAAAGCAACAGAAGGCAUUCCUGCUGUCUGCUCCUAAACUCUGCAAAUCUAAUGCAAAUCUUUAGCUCCGAUAAGUGGAACUUGCCAAGGCAGGGAAUGGAGCAAAAAUCUUAGAAUGAAAUAAAUUUAAUAGCUCAUCCCUCAUCCUGAGAACAGGCCUGGGAAGGGCAAUCCCUCUGCAAUCAGGGAAUUGUAUUUCAGUGUCUGUAAUAUCUGUCAAAUUCCGAGGUGAGAUUUCCCAUCCCUCUCUCCUUGAAUAAAGGUUACUCCUGGAAUUCUCUGUUGCCUUCUAAAGCAUGUUAUCCCAAAGGAUCAGAAAUAGCCAUGGGCUGUUCAUCCUGUGAGAGCAUGGUCACCAUGAAAAGGCAUAACAUCAUAGUGGUUUGUGAAAAAAAGUUUGGUGGAUUUAAUUCUUCUUCUGCUGAAAGAGUGUUCAUACAUGGAAAACAAAUACAUCUGGUGUUAGCUGGCAGUCCCAGUAGCCCUCACUGAAACCUCAUUUUUUGUAGAUGCCAGAAUUCAUGAUCCCCUCAGUUGCUGAGAUGAUGUCGAGGUAAGCUGAAGGCACACUGCUGGUCAGCUGCUUUCAGUACAGCUGUCCAAAGCAGUUCUGGGAAUGGUUACCACGGGAGCCAGCCACAGAAAUUGUCCAUGUGGCACCUUUCUGACAUAACACACUGAGGCAAGGGCAGGAGGGCUUAUUGUGAGAGAUUGAGAAUAUCAGAGUUGCUGGGUUUCCUCACCUCUGUGGCUUAUGCUGAGCUGAAUAACCGACUACAUCCAAAUCUACAGAUCAGGCAUUUCUAGAUUAACCCAUUCAAUUUGCACUCCUAAAACUUCUCAAAAUACAUUUUUUGAAUAACGUGCAAUUUUUGUACUAGUAAUUACAGUGCCAUGCAAGUCAAAACUCACUUGUGUACGGCAGUAAGGUAACAAUUUCUCUUGGGAAAAAAAAAAUUUUUGUAUUACUAUGUUAGAUAGAAUUUCUUUAUUUUGAUGAGGAACACUGCUUAAUAAACAAAUGACAGAAUUUGGUUUCAAAUUUUUAAAUGUGUCAGAAACAAGUGGAUAGAUUUUUUUAAAACCUUCUCACCUAAAAGGGAUUGUAUUGCCAGAGUAUGCAAUCCCAGAAACUUCCAUAGGAUUUCCGUGGUCAGGUUUUCAAAUAAAACCAUUUAGCUACUUAAAUUUUGCAAACCCAACUAUUUUCAAAUGAAAUAACUACAAACUAAUCAUAAACACAUAAGGGCAAACACAGCCAGAUGACAACUGGGCAUGUUAGGUCCAAUGCUAUGGCACAUGUCAGUAGUGACAACUAAACUGGACAGCUCACUUAAAAGCAGCUGUAGCUAAUACACUCAUUUCCAGCUAUAACAGACUUUUUAGCAAUGAAGCAGCAUGUGCAAAAGAGAGGAGUGGCUCCACCUUGGUGGUCACUUGUGGACAGAGGGGCACACAUUUGUGUCUGUUUCCCAUGUGUUUGUCAUCAGACUGGGAUAGGUUCCUGUGCAGUCAGUGCAUGGUUUAGAUGACUCAGUCUGUACUGGUGUUUAUAUGCGACAGACUUUUCUGACAUUGGUAGAAACUUUUCAGCUGGUAGAAACUUUUCUAUUUUUUUGUUGCAAUAACAUGGAGUACUACAGCUAGUACAGAAGAAAUUCACCCCAUCAUUGGAAGUCGUCCUGGUUCUAAAAGGAGCCUUCACUGCCCUGGGAACUGUUUGUCUAUGCUGCACCUACAAGUACUUAGGACCUUAUUCUUCUAACACCUGGUGUACAAGAUGCAAUUGUUCAGAAGAGUAAAAUCAAGAUCUUGAAGACAAAGGAACCAUGAAAGAAAAAUUACACAUUCUAUGCCAUGUUCCUCUCCAAGCUGAACUCUUUCUUGCAAGAGAAAACUUGUGGUUGAUUCCCGCACCAUGAAGACAUGAACAAAGACAUGACCUAUGUGGUUAAUGCUGUUGUAGUGUUGCAUCUAUUUUCCCAUGCCUCUUGGGAGUAUCUCAGCAAUUUGCUGCUGUACAGAGGUCACCCACAGCAGCUCCUCUUUGAAAUAACCUUGCUAAGCUUUUAAAUGGAAGAGCCUUUAGGAUCCCCUUUUGACAUAUCUGAAUCUAAGCAGGAAUAAACAGCUUCUCACACUGCA